RNAcentral lists this ribosomal RNA (437 nucleotides) under uncultured bacterium. Its description in RNAcentral is "bacterial SSU rRNA". It matches the Rfam family "Bacterial small subunit ribosomal RNA", at positions 343 to 797 of the family's 1533-position model. The record is from RNAcentral.
AGGAGGCAGCAGUGGGGAAUAUUGGACAAUGGGCGCAAGCCUGAUCCAGCCAUGCCGCGUGAGUGAAGAAGGCCCUAGGGUUGUAAAGCUCUUUCGACGGGGAAGAUAAUGACGGUACCCGUAGAAGAAGCCCCGGCUAACUUCGUGCCAGCAGCCGCGGUAAUACGAAGGGGGCUAGCGUUGUUCGGAAUCACUGGGCGUAAAGCGCACGCAGGCGGACUGAUAAGUCAGGGGUGAAAUCCCGGGGCUCAACCUCGGAACUGCCUUUGAUACUGCCAGUCUCGAGUCCGGGAGAGGUGAGUGGAAUUCCUAGUGUAGAGGUGAAAUUCGUAGAUAUUAGGAAGAACACCAGUGGCGAAGGCGACUCACUGGCCCGGUACUGACGCUCAGGUGCGAAAGCGUGGGGAGCAAACAGGCUUAGAUACCCGUGUAGUCCU